This 33246-nucleotide long non-coding RNA is filed under the name Setaria viridis. Its description in RNAcentral is "long non-coding RNA (SVIR_LNC003769)". Lineage: Eukaryota; Viridiplantae; Streptophyta; Magnoliopsida; Poales; Poaceae. The record is from RNAcentral.
UUUUUUUUUGUAAUCUGUAGGCUUCUAUAUAUGUUGCAGGGCUUCACCGUAUCGGACAGGCAUAAUAUCUGGCUUCUUUGCUGUAAUGGAUGGAUCCAGCCUGCUGUAAUGCUAUGCACGAGCAAAAUAACCGACUUUAUUAUUCUAGAUGACUAACGUGGAAAUCUUUGGUAGGUCUCCUCUCUUGACACACGGACUGGGACUUCUCAAGGGGACAGCAGUGCGGGUUUGCAACGUCUAUCUGAUGGUUUAGGAGUGCCGUGCAAGACAGCGCAGCAGUUGAAAAGAUAUCAGCAGCUAAUGGUAGUUUGUGACACCUAUCUGUAGAUUGAUCAGUGAUGAGCAGAUUCUUGGCACUUCAAUUUCUGCUUUCCCGUUCCUCCCUUUUGCCCGUAUCUGCAUUCUGUGACCAUUGUGCCUGUGACAGAGGCACCGAGGCAUGUCUCCAACUGCUGAUGUCUGCUCUUACUUGUCUACAACUCCUAUCAGUCAUGUUCCUACCUUUCCCCCUUGUGAUGUAUUGUGGCGAUACUCGGUCGUCAGGCUCCCCUCGUGUAUUCUUAAGCUUUUAGUUUGCACUCACGGAGGUCUGACCAAUGGUCUCCUGGUAGUGAUGUGAAUGGUCAUUAGUUCAUUAACGGCUUCCGUAUUUCGCAAACUAAAAUAAAAAUAAAAAUAAAAAUUAGCGGCUUCUGUCUUUUUGUCUUAUGUUUAGGUCCUGUUCUUUGUUUGGAUUCAGAAAUCUUAGUAAAUUUCAAUUUGCACCGGGUAAGUCUUCAUUGUUUCAGAGUCCACCGUCGAAAAAAAAGAAGUCGUCCAUUGUUUCACUUAUAGUUAUAGCAGGGUCAAGGCCUUUUCUUUGUACCCAGGUGUGCUUGUAUAUGUUCCGCGUUUAACCAGGAUAUGUCAUGAAAACCACACCAAACCUUGUAAAAUCUUGGUAAGUUUCAUUAGGUGCCACCCCCUAACAGCUCGCUCAGCGCCACCCCCUCAUGCUGGUCCGUACGACCUUGCCGCCGCCGGGAUGCUUCAGGGUGGCGAAGCUCCCGGCCAUCUCCCUCCCUCCCGACGGGACCUUGCGGAACUCCCUCGCGUUCACGUGCACGUCGAACCUGACGAACUCCCCGGCGUCUGACUCGAUGCCCUCCACCACCAGCACCUCCUCCUGCGCCGCCGGCUUACUCUUCUCCAGCAGGCUGCGCCACCACCGCCGCGCCGCGCCCUCGGCGGCCGCCUCACCUCCGCGGUCACCGGCGCGUCGAGUGACACGUGGAAGCUGACGACGGAGCCCAGCCGCCGGCCGCCCUCGGGGUUCACGCCGGGGGUGGCGGGCGGCCGCGCGGCGGGGUCGAGCCACGGCUGUGGGCGGUCGUCGUCGGCGCCGGCGUUGUACGUGUAGCGGAGCCGGUCGCCGUCGAGCAUGUCGGGGUCGUCGAGGUCCGGGCCGCGGCCGCUGCCGGCGCCGACGAUGUCGCGCCGCCAAGCCUCCCAGAGGCGGUCGAUGUUGGCGUGGUGCGCGUUACGCGCGUAGAAGAUGGGGUCGCGCCCGGCGGAAUAGUAGACGCCCAUGUCCUCGACGUUGAACAACGACUGGUCCCCCGUCCACACGUGCAUGGUGUUGUGCGGGGCCCACUCCAGCUUCCCCGGGCCCGGCAUCGCCUCGUCGCCGGCGCGGUACGGCUGCCCGAGGAAGAGCGCCGGCAGCCUCGCGCCGCUGACCAUCUGCUUGUACAUGAGGCGGAGGUUGAGGAGGACCUGCUGGUCGUCGGUGAGGUUCUUCUCCUCGCCCCACGAGAAGUCGAGGUCGCCGAGCUUGGGCGGCGCGUGGGCAGGCUCCCGCAUGGCGUCGUAGAGCGGCGAGGCCUCGUCGGCGAAGGCGUCGGGGAUGCGCAUGCCCUCGGGGACGUCCCAGGCCCAGAACGGCAGCGCGAAGCCCGGGUCGCCGAGGAGCUUGGCGGCGAUGCGCUCGAAGAAGUAGAGGUAGGCCCGGUGGAAGGGGAAGAAGAGCCAGGAGAAGUGGACCUCGACGCCGAGGUCCGACCGCCCCGCCUGCCGGUGCGCGCCGGUGCAGUAGGCGCAGUGGAUGUUCGCCUGCUGGUGGAAGCUCCGCGGGUCCAACGGCGGCAGCGCCUUCUUCAGCGCCACCGCGCGCGCGUACUUGGCCACGUGGUCCGCGUCGCCAGCGGCGGCGUGCGCCGGCCGCCGCGUCCGGAGCGGCGUGGUGGCCGGGUCCGGGAAGGCGAAGGGGAUGGGCUCCGAUGGCGACGGCGGCGGGCAGCAGUGGAACGGCGGGAGCGCGAGCGGCGGGAGCUCCCUCGUGGCGCACCGCUGGUCGGUCACGAUGGGCCACCGUGCUCGUGCGGUCUUGUUACUGCUUGCAGCGCCGCCGUCGCCGCCCUGGGACAGUGGAGCAUCGGAGCAGGAGAGGAGGUAGGGGUCGUCUCCAGGCCGGUGGCGGCGACGAUGGUUCGUGACAGGGAGUGCGUGCAUGGGCUCGUGAAGAGAUGGAGCAAGGUGGUAGCCGCGGCGGCGAGGGCGCAGAAGAGGACGACGACGCGGAGUGCUGCGAGCGGAGCACCAUUGGUCGCCUUGGCGUCUCUGCGCUCUCGCUGCUCGCUCGUUGGAAACGUUUGGUGGUGGUAGCACUGGUGUCAGUUCAGAGAGACACUUUAAGCGCGCCACGAGACAGCGAGGCGUGCGGCAUGCACCCUCUGUCCUGACACGUGGCAUGCACACGUGGCGCGGCAUUGGCAAUGACCAUGGACAUACACAUUUCGCUAGCUGUCGUGGUUCUUUUUGUCCAGGCCCUGUUUUUGAUAACCAAAAUUCACUGUAGCAUAAAUGUAGCGUUUCAUUUGUAUUUGUGAAUUAUUAUUCAAAUAUUGACUAAUUAGGUUUAAAAUAUUCGUCUCGCAAAGUACAAUCAAACUGUACAAUUAAUUUUUGAUUCCGUCUACAUUCAGUACUCCAUGCAUGUACCGUAAGUUUGAUGUGACGGGAAAUCUUCUUUUCGUAUAGUGCUAAAGUUGGAAUUUUGGGUAAUCCUAGUUUGGGCAUGGCCCGUUCCCAACGAGUUUCACGAAACGGAGAAGGACAUCUCCUGUCCUGGCAGCGUGCUGCCUGUCUUUAGCUUGUCUCCGUGGGAACGUACAGGGGCUGCUUCUUGCAUGCUCGGCACCCUGGAGAGGAUGUCUGGACACGCUUCGCUGGCGUACCAAUGCCAUACACACAGACACAGAGACACAGACACACUCCUUUUAGGGGCAAGAAGAAGUUCGAAAACUCGUAGCAAAUUCUACUCCACAAAUAAAACUCGCAACGAAACAAUGGAUAAAAAAAACCUAGCAACAAAAACAGCGAAAUAAAAAAUAUUUCAGCUUCAAUAAUGUAUAUCAUGGAAUAACGGAUUAGAGUGAAGAAAAAGAGGUUUUUGCGGCCCACCUCCCUCCUCUGAGCGAAAAGCUUGAGCCAGCCCAGCCCAAGAUUGCGUGGAGUCCAACCCGCUGAUUACCUUGGCUCGGCCCGUCCAACGACCAGCAGCCCAUCCAGCAGCAUACGGGAGUCUCGCGUGUUCUGCCACUCCGCUCCGGCUCCCCUUCGCCGUUCGGCGACUCGAACCGUAGCCUCCCACGUCGCCGCCGCGACCGCGAUGUCCUCGCCGCCGGCGCCUCCGGACGUCGGCGUCCCAGCGUCGCAGAUGAUCUUCCCCGAUGAGAUCCUGGAGGAGAUCUUCCUCCUCCUCGACGCGGCGGCCGACCUCGCGCCGCCUGCACCACCCUCCGUCGCGGCGUCUCCGCGCGCCAGUUCCGCCGCCGGUUCUGGUCCAAUUUAAAUUUUAGAAUGGAAUAUUCAUAUUGUAAGACUUCUCGGCUCUUAUCCAUUUUUAGUUAUUUCUGGAAUGGAUACAUCAUUCAGUUUGGCAGACAGGAUAGGUAAAGAUUUCAUCGAAAACUUGCAUCACCUUGCAAAACAAACGCUAAUAGAAAAAAGUCUAUAGGUGUGACGAGCAUAAUAUCUACGGUUGGGUUGAAAAUGGCAUAAGCUUUGGGUAAUUUGGUGAAGAAAAAGCUUGUCGGACAAAGUACAGAAUUAAAACAGAUACAUGUUAAACUAAGUAUAUUAGGUAUAACAAGCAUUUAUUUAGAGUACAUAAUUGGAUUUUGAUCGAUUUAUUUUUCUAAUGCAAAAGGCAAAAGAAAAGGUGGAUUCAAAAUCCUUUUUUCUUUGGACUUUCCUGAACACAAAAUACCUCCUUGUAUUCGCAUAAUUCUCAAAUGAGAAUGGAAGAAUAUAUUGCUUGUUUCAGAGUUUUUCUGCUUGGUUGCUAGCUGAGCUAGUCUUUUGAGAGCUCGGUUGACAAGUUUCUCUGAUUUUGUUCUGAUUGCCUUAACGUAGAUGCAGAAUAUGAAAGGAUGUCCUCGGCCUCGGCCCCAAUUCGCAUUGCUAGGGCCUCAAUCAACGACUGCACUGGAGCUCAAGCUCAUUCUGGAUGGUGUUAAGUUCAAGCUCAGUUGCAGGCAGCUCGAUUCUGGUGGUGAUGAUGUGAUGUAGGCGUAGGGGAUCUUGAGCUUGGUGGUGGACAGCAGUAGCGAGUUCGAUAUAUACAGGUGAUUGCUCACCGUAUUUACCCAAACAAUACUUUUACAAUUAAAAAAUUCCAGCUGUAACCUUGUGCACAUAACAUUACAACUGCAAGCUAGUUACAGGUGUAAAAGCUCAAAAAGACAUCCAAAUAAGGCCUAAGGCAAAUGAUUUCUUUGGUUUCCCUUGUCAGGUCUCACAACAAUUGUUACACUGGUGUGGUUCUCUUUUGCCUUUUUCUUUUGAACAGCUAGCGUACGUUGGAAUCUUUUCAGUCCUAAAAUAUUCGAAUAGUGUUCAAAUAACAGGGGACAAAAAACAAAUUAACUGCAGCCUUUGCUCUUUCCUUUUCUCUUUAACUCCUUUACCUUUGAAAAUCCCUCGAGCUAUGCAAGCAAAGAAUCCGAUGAUGGCCACAGGUAUAUAUGCGCUAACCUUUUAACUUUGCUGAAAGCAAAGGAGACGAAUAUGUGCAUGGGCCAUCCUCCAAAACUCUAGAUUACCGUUACCCUAUCGUCAAGCUGGGGACUCAUGCAACUAGUUCCUAUACCAUACAGGCAUUGUAGUUCUGGCUUGCACUUCUCGUCCACCUGAUCAGAUCUAUUUGCAUUAUAUUAUAUUCGCACCCACAAUAUAUGUAAACAUCCGAUAACAAGGUACUAGUCUAUUUCAUUGGGCUUUCAUCAGCAUCCUCUCAGAAAUUUAUUAUAUGAUCUCUUCACAGUUUUAUUUGUUUUGAUGUCGAAUGAUCCACUUGGAGAGAUAGCACAUAAGGCAUCUAUGUCUACUAAAAAAAUGCUUAAUUUUCCAUCUUGCACGUGCAGGAACAAAUCUGUUGUCAUUGGCUGAGAAAUCAGGAGUUUGCUGCAGAAAAUUGGUUAGCUAGAUGCAUCAUAUCACGCUGCUUUUUCCCUGAUUGAUAAGAAACAUCCCGGAUCGACUGUACAAGCUGCUGGCAUUCUAAACUACAGGCGCAACAUGCGUGUCGACGAAGUAAGUGACCGAUUACCUUUAAUGCUGUAUAUAUAUUAUUUCUUGAAGUGGCUCCAUAUAACUGCUACUAUGCUGAGUAUGUACAAUUUAGUCAUUAAGGAGAGAUGACAUCGUAGUACAGGAUUUUAGACAAACACACCCUAAUUAGACUUGCAUGGUCUCUUAAUUACUAGAUGCUUCAAAUUUUUGGAGGCCAUAAUUUAACAUGCUGAGUAUUUACCCCUUCAUCAACCAAUGUUAUCGCCUCAAUGCUUCCCAGGAUAACUAAAUUGGAAAAGGAUCUCCUAGUACUUUUCUAUGUAGGAUUGCAUUAAUUUAUGGCUUGUAUUAAAUUUUGUUGUUGACAUAUCAAUAUGUUUUGGUUGUUGCAGUCGAUUGAGAUUGAGGCUGAUGACGUACGUGCGGCAGCAUGGGACAUCCUUGAUUUUCUUGAGGAUACAAGUGAAGAAAAGGAGAUCUACUUCAAAGGCUGGGAUGGAUUUGGGGCAUCAGCGGCUCUCAAAGCUGUAGCCAAGAGGCUUCAAUCAGCUGAGUCAAUGAAGAAUCCCAAGUUGAAGUUUGACAGAGUGAUCCACAUCGACUGCUCCUUGUGGAAAAGCAGGAGGGCACUACAAAAGGCAAUUGCAGAGGAGUUGAAGCUUCCCAACCCGGUGAUGGCCAUCUUUGAUCAGAAGGACAGGGACGAUGAUUUCAAAGGGGUCGAUGAAGCUGCUCGAAGGGAGAUCGAUGAUGUCACCAAGGAGAUCUUCAUGAAUCUAGCGGUAUGUCGGUUCGUGGUGAUCUUUCACAACGGAGGCAAUGAAUACAUUGAUUUCUUCGAGUUCGGCAUCCCCAUGUACGGACACUUGCGCAGCAAGGUGCUAUGGACCUUCCACGGAAGGUUCCGGCCGCACGUCCAAGUGGAUGACGAAGUCAAAGAAACAAUAGAGAAAAGGACUGAUGUUUUUCUCCGAGCAGUACCCAGACACAGGUCUGAUGCCCGUGUGAGUGCUGCAUUGUCCAAUGCUGUGAUGGAAGAAGCUAUUGAAGUUGCUACUUACCUAACUACAUGCAAACAUCCCACUAUGGUCCUGGACUGCAUCUUGCACAUGUGGGCACAUAAGUAUGUUGGUGGCAUGGACUGGGGUGCCCAUGCAUCCAGUUACUGGGUAUGUGAUGGAAUCAUAAGAGAUGGAGGCAAAAAUCCAGAGUUACUUUUGAAGGAAAGAAUGUGGGAGAUUGCUGGUGAUUUGCACAGUAAUAUACACUUGAAUUGGGAUCUGGAGUAUGUCUCCCGUGCUGUUCCCAGUUUCGAAUGGGUGAUGCCUGAUGAACGCUGGAUUCGGAUUUUGUUGCCCCCUCUUAUUCCACAUCACACUGAUUGCCAGCAGUCGAGUCAUUCUUUUCAAAGUAUUAUUGAGAAGAAUCGUAAACCAACAAUGGCAACGUCCUUCUUCAUAGCCCCAAACAGAGAUAAACCCUCCACUGAUGAACAACAAGGCUUCACCACUGAUACCACAAGACUAUCAUCCCACAUGUUCAAGCACUAUGAGAAUCUUCGUGUCAUACAACUGUCCUGGUGCACAUUCAGUUUUUCUGCUCCCCCAUUCCUCUACUGCAAGAAACUGAAAUUUCUCCGGCUUGAUCAUUGCAAAGAUCUCGGCACAAGUGCUUCGUCAGAUGGAGGAGAGGUGAAGGAUCAAACAACGCACGGGACAUGCCCCGACGACCUUUUGGUGCUACAUCUGAAUCACACAAACAUCAACCUUCUUUGGUGUACGGGUCCACCUAUGAAUCCAAGAGAGUUGUACUUCAGUGGGGUCAAGAAUUGGAUUGAGCAUCACUUACAUGCUGUACAGCUUGGUGAACUUGGAAAACUUGGAGUAACAACUGACCCGAUGGAGACGUUCCCUAACUUGCUCCAGGCAAAAAGUCUAAGGACAAUCACCCUUGAUGGUUGCACUGAGUUAAAAGAAGUUGGCCCUGAUGUCCUGCCUCCAUCUCUUGAAUCUUUCACCUUCUUUGUCGAGAGCUCAACUGCUAAUAAGGGAACACCAAGUAAAAGCGAGGGCGAAGGAGGAGCUAAGGUGCAUACCAUCUCCCUCCGGUGUUGCAUGCAGCUGAAAGGUUUGUUCCUGAGAGGAUGGUUCAAGAAACUCAAGAUGCUGGACCUCUCGGGUACGCUGUUAAAAACACUUGACCUCAGCAUGGUGGAAGCUCCUUUCCUCCGUGGGCUCCAUCUGUUGGGUUGCCACAUGCUGUGCGCAAUACUGUGGCCACCAGCAAGGCCAAGAUUACAAGAGCUGCAAAUCGACACCACCACCACCCAACUGUCACCAAGCUGCUGCCUUGGGGGCACCCAUUUCAACAUCUCUGUGAGGGAUGGGAGGCUCCUUGGCUCGCUUGUGCCCAUCGGAGAUCAUUUCCUUGGCAAGGGAUUACAUGUUGACAUAUCGUCUCCUGAUCAUGCUGCUUCUUACGCAAGCAGCAUCAACGACGAUGAUGACAGCAUUAUCAUUGCUACCUCCGGCUGCAGCAUCAGUAAGAAGCAAAUGCUCCUGGGCCGGAGGCCUGGUCAGCCAUACACCAAGGACGUCUCCUUCGACUGUACUACCAGCAGCGGCUCCACACUGCUGGCACCGUCGCUGACGAUACAUAGAGACGACGACAACGCCUCAGCAACCGCGUGGAUGUGGGACUGCCCGCGGGCUCCUGAUUGUGGCGCCUACAUUAGAGUCGAAGACAGGAUGCAGAAGACGGGGCUUGUACUAGGACCGGGUCAGGGGACCGAGCUGCUGUGCGACCAUGCUACGAUCCUGCAUGUGCACGACAGCGCGUCCAUCACCGGAAUCCCGUUCCCAGAUAGCUGGGCCAAGUUGUUGUGGUUCCGAGUCGAGCGGUGCCAACGGCUGGACACCGUGUUCUGCACCCCCGAGGGAGAGUGGGUGGGCGGCGUAAGCCGCCAGGCCAUGUUCUGGUACGUCCAGACCUUGUGGGUGUCGCAGCUGCCGGUGGCACGCCACGUCUGGAGCUGGAGCGUGGCGGCGCAGCCCGACGAGCGCUCAUUCGAGGACCUUGGACAUGUGCACCUGCACAACUGCCCCAGGCUGCUGCACGUGCUGCCCCUGUCCAUGUCCGUCAACCUGGGCAGCCUGCACACCCUCGAGAUCGUGUGCUGCGACAGCCUCACAGAGGUGUUCCCUGUGCCGGGCAAGCGAAAGGUGGUGAACUUCUGGAAGCUGCGGCGCCUCCACCUGCACGAGCUCCCUGCGCUGCGUUGCCUGAGCGGCCGCAGAAUGGUGACGCCCGAACUUGAGACCGUUAGGGUGAGGGGAUGCUGGAGCCUCAGGCGGAUGCCGGCUGUCGGGGACGGUACCGGUGGCGGUAGCAAGAGGAAGCCGACAGUAGACUGCGAGAAGGAGUGGUGGGACCGGCUGGUGUGGGACGGGGUGCGGCUUGACCAUGACCCCUCCCUGUACAGGACGCUGCAUCCGCGUUACGGCAGGGAGACCGGUCUGCGUCCAGGAACCCUGCUCAGAUGAUAUCGAUCGAGGUGAGGUGAGCCCUUCAGUUCGUCCUCCACAUGCUUCUCUCGUUAUUCAGUAGCUGGUUAUAUUAAUGAUCCAUCUCUCUCCUUCCAUCAACUAAAACUGCAGCAGGUGAUAGAUGAAACCACCUUGCUUCAUUACUUCUGCCUGAUCGAUUGGUCUCACGAGCUUUGAUUGAUUUGUUUCCUCUCUGCAAAGUCUGCAUCAGCAUUUGAAUGGUAGUAUCCGUGUAUCCGGAUGUUUUUGGGAUUAUGUAUUAGUAAGAUCAUGUCCGGAUGGACAGUGUGUUUUCUGUCAUGAAGAGCGUUUUUUCAUCCUUUGUUUCUUUGUUUCUAUGGUCUAGAACAUGUGUACUGGUUGAGGUGUGUGUUCAGUUCCAGUUUGGGAAGUCUGGAGCAGGUUUGAAUUUGCCAAAGGCUGUCAGUUGCUGAGAGCCAGCAAGGCUGGCUGGAAGCUUAGAUGGUCUUAGGAGUAUGUUGGGUCGGUAUUUUUGUGUCUUUCUGUUAAACUCUUGUUGAGUUUAAGGUGUGGGCAGUUUAAGUACUGCAGUUUGUAAUCAACAGCUGCAAGCUUUCAGUUUCUGAUUGCGGAGGCUGGAACUAUUUCCUUAAUAAACAAAGAUCAUGUAUAUUAUUGACAUCCUACCUCUUUGCUUUGUCUUUCGGGUUAAUAAUUAAUUUUCUGCGUGUUUGAUUUUGUCAAUCAGAUUGUAAAUGUAUUAGAAAGAUCAAGCGACUUUUGAUCAAGCGACUUGGGAUUAUGUAUCGACUUCUUGUUGAAUACUUACUACUCCCACCGUUACAAAUUAUAGAUCGCAUAAGGUUUGUCCUAAGUCAAAAGUCAAACUAAUCUAACUUUAACAGAAGGUUUUAGAAAAAAAUAUCUAAAAUCAAUAAUAUAUCUAAUCAUGACUGCAUCACUCGUGUUCUUUCAAACCAUGCAAUUGAGAUGAAGCCUCUACCCUGAGAACACCUGGGCCUUGUUUAGUUGCCUAACUUUGGAGAUGCAAAAUCACUGUUGUAGCACUGUAGCACACUGUAGCGUUUCGUUUGUAUUUGUGAAUUAUUAUCCAAAUAUUGACUAAUUAGGAUCAAAAGAUUCGUCUCGCAAAGUACAACAAAAUUGUGCAAUUAGUUUUUAAUUUCGUCUACAUUUAGUACUCCAUGCAUGUACCGCAAGUUUGAUGUGAUGGAGAAUCUUCUUUUUGCAUAGUGUCAACGUUGGGAGUUUGGGGAACUCCCUAAUUGAUGUGCUGGGGUAUUUGAGAAAAAUUAAAAGCAUCUCACAUGAGGUGCUGCCAGAGUGCCAUCCCUCCCAGCAGCACAGUAGUCGCCUCUCCACCCGGGACGUCCUACAGAUCAUCAAACCUCCUUUAAUCUGUCCGGGUGGGUUGUAAAUUUGACGCUGAACAACCAUAGCCUAAAGCUAAAGGUCUUGAGCGCACUAAGAUUUUGUUCACUUUUGCUUUGUCCCUUCUUUUUCGUUCUUUUCUCUUUUGUUUGCCACAUUUCGGUCUAUUCUCUGCCUCCAUUGAUUUUCUUUCUUGCAUCUUCUCUUUGCUUGAUGAGAGAGGCAGGGAAUGUAGUAUAUCUGAGGACGAAAGAGUUGUACAUUUCAUUUCAAGUUGGCAUGCACUAUGAGAAGUUGGCAUGCAAUUGCUGAGAGGAUUAGAGAAGGAUUUAUCGCGCUGGUGCUUCAUGACGAAUCUAAUAUCUUACCUGAUGUGUCAAGGGUGCUUGCAUGCCUCUAUGAGAAGAAUAUCAGGUUUAGGACUAUCAAGAUUAAGAAUUACACGCCGGUAUUCAGCCUGAAGGUACUUUGGAGUCUUCUAUUCUUGUUUUUUUUUUGGCAAGAAGAAACUCUUUGAAGAUUUUAAGCUGUCAAUAUCAUUAUUGCAUUUUCUUCGUGCGCACUCUGCAGGAAUGGCCACAUCCUCGAUCUCGAGUUGUUUCAUUCCUUGAUGGGCCUACAUUUCUAGAAGGUAAUACUUGAAUCUUAUGAAAGUCACCUACCAUUCCAAAGUCAGGCUUCUCCUCAAGAAAGGGUCCAAGCCAGACCUCCAUUUCCUUGAAGCUUAUAUUUUUCACCAUGCGAUAAUAUUCAUGUUAGGUUGCUACAAGGAGAUAGGUUGUUUAUUAGUUGUCGCUAGGAAACUAGCUAUGUCAGAAAGUUGUGAUAUCUGGCUAGCCUGGCUGAAAUUUGUACCAAUCUCUUAAAUUGGCAUUUAUCAAUUUUAAAAUAUAUUAUUGAGCUCUUUUCUGCCGAAAUUGAGAGCGAAUUUUCACCAUCAUAUAUCCGUUCAUCAUUUUGGCAUGGUAUUGAUGGGUCCAGUUAAUAUUCCCCUGUUUGUUCUAAGUGAGUACUCAGUUCUCCAAAAUCAUGCACGAUAGCAGCAAAGUAGCCAAUGCACUAAAGGCAGUCUAAAUUAAAGGAGAGUAGAAUUGGUUUAAUGUGGUUGCCAUUUUCGAAUUUGACUAUAUGCUUGUUAUUUAUAGCAACUGAACGACAAUAUAGCUUGGUUCAUUUUGAUGCAUGUAGAACACAACUGGUGGGCUGCAAAUCCUUGAAUUGAUUAGAGUCAGAAGAGUUGAUCUCAAAAGAGUUAAUAGUUUCUCCUGUCUCAGAUGCAGGAACUUAAAACAAUUUUUUUGCAUGAAAACUGCAUAACUAUGUAAAGUUGUGAUGCGGCUUGCAUUUGCUAAAGUUAAUAUGAUACCAGUUCCUUGUUACUAUUAGUGCAAAAAGAAUUGUAUUCCUUUUGCGUUUACGUGCAAAAAAAUUUGGAUAUUGGCAUCCCAGGACACAAUAAUGUCUUCAUCAAGAAUGUUUGAAUCCCAAGAAUGAUGUAAAACAUUGUGCUCUUAUUUAGCUAAAGCCGGAAGGCAACUUUUAGAAUUAUAUACUCCAAUCGCGUGUGCUGUUAAUUUGGAUUGCAGAACAAACUGUUGUUGUAAACAGACAAAUAGAUGGGAGGGAAUGAAUUCAAGAUGAACUGCCCGCAAUAUUUUAGUUCUUAAUAGGUGAUAGUGAUACUCAUGAAAUCGUAGAGAUUCAUUUCUUCGCGGUGGUCAACAGAAAACGGAUUCAGAAAUUUUGCCAGUGAUAUUCCAAUGGUAAUUUAAUUUCAGCAGCUCACUGUACAUUUCUAUUUCCAGAUUCCAGGGAAAUCUGCCGCCAUAUAGCAGAAAAGCUCACUGUCCAUUCCUCCUUGGGAAGGAUGGCCUCCAGAGGGCUUCAAUUGAGCAAUGGCUCCACUACGAGGAGCACGCUUUCAACCCUCCGAGCCAGGCUUUGUUCUACCAUUUGGCCUUCCCCCUGGACGAUGACAAUGACCUUGACAUGCAAAGAAGGAAGCUAGAAGAGGUCCUGGACGUCUACGAGCAGAGGCUCGGUGACAGCAAAUACCUUGCCGGCGACGAGUUCACCCUCGCCGACCUCGUGCACUUACCCAACUGUCACCACAUCGCGGAGUCCGGUAGGUUCAGGUACCUGUUGGAGUCGAGGAGGAACGUGUGGAGGUGGUGGAGCACCAUUUCUUCGCGGGACUCGUGGCAGCGGGUGGUCCGCUACAUGAAGACCGUGGAGGAUGAGCACAAGCUGGAGUCGUUGCUGGAGCUGCGGAGGAAGCGCCGCGGAGCCGUCGUUCGACAGGUUCGGAAGGACCCCCGGAAGCACAUCAUCGCCAAGUCCGAGACGGUCUAGGGGGACCGGUGAAGAUGAAGAUCGCUUGUUGUUUGUCCGUACUCCGGAUCAACAUGCUUAAUUUCUGGCUUUAUUUGGUUUAAGACUUGCUUAAUCAUCGUAUGCAUUUAAUAAGUGUCGCUGAUGUGUGGAAUGAGAUUUUAAGAAGAAAGUUAUAUAGUUUACUGUCAAAGCAUUUAUAGUUUUAAUUAGAUUCACUGUGAGAGCUGAUGGUACGGUUGAUCUCGACAAAACUAAAAUAAUAUAUUUUUUUAAAUGUAAAAAGGGGCAUGAGCACUGUCAUAUCAUAUAAGGAGAAAAGCGAGUGUUAUGUUUCUGAUAGCAAUAUUAUUAUAUUUCUAAAACGUGUUGGAUCAACUUAACCUUUAGAAGGAACUUUCUCAGGUUCUUUAUACAAUGAACUGGCAUUAUUCAGAUUUUACUAACAAAUGGAUGACAUGUGUCUGGAGAACUAAAUUACCUUUGAAGAUUAUUAGAGUGUUCCUUUAGCAACUCUGCAACGACAAAAUCACAGACCACAUUAUCUUUCAACGUGCUGUUGCUCAAAUUUGUUGGUGCAUAUAUAGAGAUGUUUUAGAGUGGCUCUUUACACCAAUAAAUGUGGAGGAUCUUCGAUAGAUACUAGGCUGUGUGCCAUGGAGUUUAUGGCUUAUCCGUAAUGAUUUAGGCCCAGUUUAGAUACACUCCUAGCCACGCUUGAAUUAUAAUCUAAGCGAAAAUUUUCUCGCUUCUCGCUUUUCGUAGUUCAAAUCUAUGAAAUGGUUUACCACGUAAGCGAGAAUCAUUGGAAAUAAGCAAAUAAAGCGUUUGGCGGGAUUCUCGCUUACUUCCACCGAUAAGCCACUUAUAAGCGGAAAUAAACGGGACAUAGUGUUUAACAAUUUAGCAGUUCUCUCCCCCAAUGAGCUGAAUAAACGGGGCUGAAUAAGCUGAAGCGAACAAGCCCUAAUUUGUUAAACACUAUCAAAUCCGCAGGAAUCAAAUCACUCUCCAGUCUAUGUAGCUUGUUUUGGAGAGAGAGAACGAUACGAGAGGCUGAGGCAGGAGGUUGCCAUGGGGAUGACCGGAUGACCAGAUGAAGAGAUAAUAAGGGCACAAUGCACUUAAAAAGAAAGAAAAUAGACCUUUCAGACUCUUUCCUCACUUAGCUUUUUACAAAACAGGAGGGAAUCCCUUACUAAUUACUUAUAUAUGAAGCCUAAUUAAUAUAUGAUUUGAUCGUGUAAUGCUACAAUAAAUAUGUGAUAAUUAAGGAUUAGUUAGGUUUAAUAUAUUCGAAUUAACCUGACUUAUAUGAAAUUAUUUUUAUAAUUAGUUCACGUGGUCCGGCCCGUUCAACGCCCAGCAGUACGCGUGAGGCUCUCACAUCUUUCUGCCACUCCGCUCCGCCACUCCCGGCUCCCCUUCGCCGUUGGCGACUCGAACCCUGGCCUCCCCCGUCGCCGCCGCGAUGUCCUCGCCGGCGCUGCCUCCGGACGCCGGCGCCCCUUCGUCUCAGCUGAUCUUCCCCGACGAGAUCCUGGGGGAGAUAUUCCUCCGCCUCGACUCCGCGGCCGACCUCGCCCGCGCGUCCGCCGCCUGCACCGCCUUCCUCCGCGUCGCCCGCUUCCUCCGCCGCAACCGGUCCCUCUACCGCCGGCCCGUCGUUGGGUUUCUCCAGUUCGAACUCCCCUCCUCCCCCCACCGCCACCCUCCCUCGCUCCACCACGCCGAGCCGCCGCACCGCUUCGCGUUGGCCGGCCGCGCCCUCGCGUAGCUCGUCGACCUCACCUUCUCCUUCCUCCCCGACCCCAGCACCUGGCGGAUCUGCGAUGCCGGCGACGGGCGCAUUCACCUGGCCUCGCGCACCGCCGACACCACCGAUGAAUUCGUGGACCUCGUGGUCUGUGAUCCUUUGCACCGCCGGUACGUCCGGAUUCCCCCCAUCCCCGACGAGCGGAAAGUAGCCCAACACGGCCCAACAUACAGAAGAACCCAGCAAAAAGUAGCCCAAACUCACUGACUGGACCGAACCUCACUUUCGAGUUCGGGCUCAGUUCCUCUGCCCACACAGCCCACCUCCCUCCUCCCCGCGCGAUGGCGGCGACUCCGGCGAGCGGCGGCGGCGGCGCGUACUCGUGCGAGACGGCGGCGCGGACCCGCGAGUGGAUGGAAGCCCUCGCCGCCUUCCUCGGCCGCCACCGCCCGCUGCUCGAGGCGCACGUCGUCAACUUCUUCAAGGUCGUCCUCGUUUUCCCCCGUGAAUUUCAGCAGGCUCGGCGACGGAUCGGAUGAUUCUGUUCGUUCGCUGAGUGUUUCCGUCCUCUAUGGUUUGGUUUCGCGCAGGACAGGAUGUGGGAGCUGGUGGACGCCGAGUGGAUGGAGUGCCUCCGGCGGGAGCCCGUGGGGAGCUUGCUCAAGCUGCCAUCCGGAUGCGUCCAGGUAUGCAUUACUCUGCGUGCAUGACAGCGACUCGAUGUGUCCAAGUUCAUCGUUGCUAGUUCACGCCCUUUCGAGUUUGAUGGAUCCAAGUGUCCGCUGCUUUCGCAGGAGCACUGGCCCGCUACGCUGCGAGAGUUUGUGCUUACUGCUAGGUCGCUUGUUGUUCCACGGGAGCAGAAGGCUCCGCAGUCGGUGGGUUUCCUGAAUUUAACGGAUUAUUAACUGCACGCGCUCCACAUGCAGUCGUGCUGCUUAGUUUGCUCUUCUCUCAAUAUAUGUCUGCAUUACAUACUCAGUUCAAUUUGCUGUCGUUUCUAGUCAUUUAGUUAAGAGAUUCUCUAUUUUCCGUGAUCUUCUUCAAUAUUGACAUUUUUGUUCUUGAAUAUGUCUGGCAACUAGUCUCGCUCCACAUGCAGCCGUGUUGCUUGGUUUCAAUGAACAAACUAUGAGAUUGCUUUUCUCUUAAUAGCUCUUUGCAUUACAUAAGCUCACUUGCUGUCGUUUCUAGUCAUUUAGUUAAGGGAUUGCCUAUUUUUCUCAUCGCUGUGAUCUGCUUUAAUCUUGACAUUUUUUUUCCCUUGAAUAUGUGUAGCUUGUACCUGAUAUUCAUGUAGCUUCAAUUGGCACCGUUCUCGCUCAAGGCAUGAACUCAAAGAAGAAGCACGAAGUAGGUAAUCCAGCUUUGUGCUGAUUCUUGAACUUGCUAUGCAGGCUUAUUUAUUUGCAAGUCUGAUGUUAUUUUUACUUGUUAUUUGCACUCUCAUUCUAGAGAAACUGCUUUAUGCAGAUUGAAAAUCUAGCUGCAGUGGUUCAUGCGAUUGCUAAGAGUUGUGGAGCCAAGACAGUGGUUGAUGUAGGUUCUGGCCAGGUAAUGUCAUCUGCAUGCAAGCAGCUGCACGAUUGUAAUACAAGGUUUCAAGUGGACACAAUUAUCUUUCUAAUACUUGGACAGUUGGCAUUUUUCUUCAUUGCUCUCGGUUGUGAUUAUGACAUCUUAAAUAUCAGAACUGAAAGAACCAGUCCUACAUGAACUGCUUAAAUUUAAGGUGGUCUGUAUUUUUGUUAGAUUUAUUUGCAAAUUGGAAUCAGACUGCGCAAGUCAGUUGUUUUCUAGCACCUGAAAAUAGAAAACUGUUCCACUUGCAUUUAUUUGUGUAGACUUUGCAUGGCCUUGGUUUUGUGUUGAUAUUUUCUGGGAGUGAAAGAAAUGAUUGAUUUUAACAUAAUUCAACAGCAAGUGUUAUAUCAUGUAUUUAUUUUUAAUUUUAUUUGAUAUUUUCAGGGUUAUCUCGCACAAACUUUAUCCUUUGAGUACCAACUCCCUGUUGUAGCGAUAGAUGCUUCAUCACAUCAUGCAUCAGUUACAAUUGCUCGUGCAGAGAGAAUAAAGAAGCACUAUGCUGCUAAAUGGUGCAACCUUCAGUGAGUUAGUUUGAGUUCUACUACCUUUGGGUUGAUACCUGCUGCUAUAAAUUGCUACCUAAUAUUUUUGCAGUGUGGAGAAGCAACUGCUCACAGUACCUAGGACUGUCACCUGUCAUGUUCUUUCUAGUGACACAUUGGCAGCUGUCACGCUAGAUGCAUGUAAGGAUAACCACGGUGAACAUGUAAGCGAAACUAAGGCCUGUACUAUGAAAAGCCCACAAAUUCUGGAACCAACUCAGAACAGUCCUCCAUUAAUCCUUGCUGGUCUUCAUGCUUGUGGUGAUCUCUCAGUUAACAUGCUAAGGUUGGUCUUUGCUUUCAUGUAGUGUGGUCCUGUCUCCAAACUUGCUAAAUGCUGCAUCGUCAAUUAAAAAAAAUCCCCCACCUUGAUGAAAAUAUUUUUAAAGUAUGGCUAUCUUUUUUGGACAGAGUUUUUGUGUCCUGUGAACAAGUAAAAGCAUUGGUAAGCGUUGGCUGCUGUUACAACUUACUUUCUGAGGAUUCUUAUGAGGACACAAACACCUGUUCUGGUUUUCCUAUGAGCAAGGCUGCCAAACUAUCUAAAUUGGUGCUUGGGAAAAGCAUUCGUGAUCUUGCUUGUCAGGUAUGAUGCAUUUGACGAUCUUAGUGUCGCCUGCUGUUCUUUUGAACAUCUCUUGCUGCAACUCGUGAAGACACGCAGCAUAGACUGUAUAUACUAACAAGAGUUAUUUGGUCAGUGGACUUAGACUUCUUUUUAAAAAAAUGCUCACAAGCUCAUUGAAGUUUUGUGCUUCCUCUGCACACUUGUGUCGUUGUGUGGCCACAAUUUUGUGGUCUAAAUCAUUAUUGCUGAAAAUUAAAGGAUACCUAUUUUCACCUCUGUAAGUUUUUAUGUUCAUCUGUUCUAUGUUAGGUGAAUGUGUUUAAUAUUGCAUUCUAGAGCUAACUGUUACUUGCUCUGAUAAUGGUAUCAGUUACUUUUAUUGACAUCACAUGUUUGUUAGGUAACUAGUACACUUUGACUAUAUCUCUAGUUUGAACUAAUUGCAAACAUGACAAUUGUAUACAUUUUAAUCUACAUACUAUUAAAGAUGCAGUCUUGGAAAUAUCUAAAUGAUUUAGUGAUAUUUUGGCUGCAGCUCUUUAUUUAUUGAUAUUUUUAUUCCUUUUAGAGUGCAGAGAGAUGGAGAAGUCUCACCGUGGACAUUGCGCUGCAAAAUUUUGAUGUACAUGCCUUCCGAGCUGCAUUUCAAAUGGUAAAUGUUUUGUUAUUUCAAAACAAACAUUUUAUUUUUUUCAAUGUUUUCAUUUAUACUCUGGAUAUUUCACUGUGCUUUAUGUUUGGUCACUCUUCAUUUAUCCUCAUGUUCAAUAUUAUUCUACAGAAAGGUCUUGAAUAUAGUGCACUUGCUGAUGAGUACGUGUUCUUGUUUACCUAGUUGCAUUGCAUCAGCAAUUCACUCAUAUGAAUUCAGAUUUAUGCUAUGCAUUGUUAUUUGUGCAAGCAACAGUUUCAAUAUAAUAUUCAGCUAGCUUGAUGAACAUGAUGAACUGGCUUAUAGGCUGGUCAACGGCGACAGGUUUUUGUGACAUUCCCAACUUACCUUGCAUGUUUAGCUAGAGAUCUGCACAGUGGCUUCCUAGGAAAGACUAAAUGCCUAUGCAUUCACGAUUCACCACACAUGCUGAUAUGCUAGCCACACUGCAUGUCAAUUGCUGUUUCUUGUAUGAUGUCAGUACCAAACAUGUUUAGAUUACAUAUUCAUGCCUUUCUCUGUGAAUAUGGAAGUGAGUUGUGGUUUGUGAAUAUGUCAAUUAAUUUUUAUUUGGACUUUUCUUCGCGAUGAUUAUUGUUCAUGAAAGAAGAUAUAGAUCCAUUUAGAUUCUACAACACUAGAAUCCAGGAGCUUCUGAGUUUGACCUUUUGGGUAGAUUUGUGAAUAGCAUUUUUUUUGGUUAUUUUAAAACUUUUGAAUUCGCUGAACUAUAUGUUUCUGCUGUAGGUACUUGAGAAAUAUUUUCCAGAAGUGUCAAGGUUGAGUCCAUCAAUUGGAAGGCAAGGAAAAGCUCUUCGACGUCAGAGGCUUCGGAAAGUUGUGGAAUCACAAAUGGCUACGGAGAAAAUUGAUGAUCUCUCCUGUUCAACUUUAAAGGAACAAAACAUGAACACAGAUGAUGUUGAUUCAGUCAUAUAUGGAGUUGACACAGGACCAGAUGACAUCCAUCAUGAUCAAUGUCGAAAGUUUGCCCUUUUCAAAGAUUUCGCACUAUCAGGAUUAGGUCGCCUUGGCUGUGGCUCAGUGGAAGACAUGAGUCUGCUUGAAGUAUGGAAGAGCGUGCAACCCUUCUCUGUAAGUUUCAUCGAAACACCCUUUUUAAUUAUGCUGUCUUGUUAUGGUACUAAUUCCAAGAAGUUAAAUGCGCGGAUCAUUUUCAAUUAUUUGUUCAUUCUCAAUAGAAGUGAAAAUGAUGUUAUUCUGUCACUGUCUUGUACUCCCUCCGUUCCAAAUUGUAGGUCAUUUUGGCUUUUUCAGGUGCAUAGUUUUGGCUAUGCACCUAGAUAUGGUAUAUGUCUAGAUGCAUAAUAAUAUCUAUGAACUUAGAAAAGUCAAAAUGACCUAUAAUUUGGAACGGAGGGAGUACACACGUUAGGUAAGCAAGUCAUCGGUAAACACUGAUAAGUAUGCUUGCUUAGGUCAUUUCAGUUUUUAACACAUGUGAAAGUCCUUGCAAAGGCCCAUCAUGGCUAUUAAUUUUUGAACAGUACUUUAAAUUGGGAUUACAUCACUGUGUUUCUGGUAGGUUAGUUGGUGGAACAUGUAUUGAAAGAGUUAUGCAAAGCAUAGUAAAUUGAUAUGUUUUAAUGCUGGAUGAAGACAAUAUAAAGCAGAUUGACAGUGUUUGUUGCUUAUAUCACAAAAAACUAUAUUAAUGUGCUUAACAGUAUGUCCGUCCAGAUGCCUUUCCAACUGCUUCAUAUUCAUAAAAGCAUAGUAGUUGGGAUAUGAUCGUGAUCCCCCCCCCCUGAUUUUUUAGCAUAAAAAGAACCACUCUAUCACAAAUAUCUAAUCACCAUUUUUCUUAUUCUUUCAGGAAUAUAUAGGUCCCUUUUGGUGCCUUCGGGCUGCUUUAGGUCCACUGGUGGAAACAUAUAUUUUACUUGACCGGUUAUUGUUUCUUCAAGAGCAAAGCAGCCUAGUUGAAGCAUUGUUGUUUCCUCUAUUUGAUCCUACUAUGUCUCCAAGGAACAUGGCCAUAAUUGCUUGGAAGUUAUCUGCAAAUUCUUCAGAAGCAUGACAUGGUAAAUCUUCUGAUGCUGGAAUAUGUAGGUUGAUGAAAUGUUGUGUUGUUACCAAAGACAGUCUAAUGGCAGAAACGUGAUCCUUCAUUAUAUUUUGAUACAAUUAUUGUAUUUGUUGUUUUGCUGUAUACAACAAAAACUGAAGAUAGUCUUAGCUUUGAAAUUAUGAUAGCAAUGCAUUAUGAGACUGUUCUCAUAUACUUGCUGCAACCUAGCUUCUCCCAGAUUGUAUUUUGCUGCUUGUGUGAUGUUCAGAUUUUGCGAGAAUGUGGCAGGCCAUCUAGCCUGCUCGAGACUUUCAGUAUAUCUGCACAGGUAAGAAAGAAACCUCCAGCAGACUAGAUCCUGCAAAUCUAGUUGCAGGAAUGUGCAAGAUACUGCCCUCGAAGAGUGUGCCUUUAUCCAUUGAAUGCUAAGUCAACAUCUAGAUUGAUUCCAUGGCCUUUAGUGCUUGCUUGUUUGCUUGUUUUUCUAAAGUGAUCAUGAAACAAGUUGCCAUGGAACAUUAUCGUUCCUGCAAUAUGUGUAUACGUGUUCUAUGCAAGAACUUAUGUACAUGUCAUCACUCAUUGUUGUUAUAUCGGCCUGAAAGAAAAUGGCAUUCGGACAACAGAAACAAAAGAGGAUUUUGCUUCAGAUACUCCUAGGCUUUUGCCUGCCUUGCAUAUCCUGAUGCAAUUGGUAAAGUUAUGUCUGAUCAUGAGAACCUAUGAUUCAGCAGGGUUGACAUAGAGGGGCAAAUGAUCAUUUAUGCAAUGUAAGUUGCCUAACCACAUUGACUAUUUACCUGCAAUCUACUGUGACUUGUCAUAAAAAUCAAAUCCUGUAGGAUCUCUGAUGUGAUGCCACCAACAUGGGUAGGCUGAAAGAGGACCAGCAGAAGAGGUUGACUUGCGUUUUAUGCACAUGUGCUAUCCACAUGGUUCCAUCAGUAUGUUUGUGGUUUCAGGUUUGUCCUUGCUUAUCCAUGCAUGUCAUAUGUGCGUGUGUAUGGCGUGUAUACAUUUUUUAGUCCUUUGGUGAUUUGACUUACUGUUCUUAUCAUAUAAGCAUUUAUUUAAUGGGUUUUUUAUUAACUCCUUGAAUUGUUUGUACUCCACCCUGCAGUCUGUUAGUUUUCUACUCUUCUGCUGCAGGCUUGACAACUAAAGAAAGGGCUUGGUUAAUUGCCACUCCCAAAAAAAAAACUUCCAUGUUGACCAGUCAUUUAUUCAGUCUUAUUCUCCACUCGUGGUUUGAUAGUUUAGAGGAAAGUGAUGAGAGCAGCAGAGGUGCUUGGUGUAAAGGCUAAAUAAUCCCUGGGCCAUCAUGGUAGCUCAAGAGCAACAAGCUGUCAUAUCAUUUGUGGAUGUGGUUUUACAAUGCAAUUUGACCAACUGAAGUUAUAUCCUUGCAUUGGUCUGCUGUCAGAAUCCUGGUAUGUUUCAUCCUUUUUGGCUGUACUACCACACAAUAAUUUGCUGAUUUUACUUCCAUGUGUCAAACGAAACUUUCCUUACCUAGAUUGUACGUGAUCUUGAGGGCGAGUGAGCUAUGUAAUAUGCCAUCUUCUUUUGUCCCUUCUUUUUUGCAGAAUUUGUUCAGCCGUUGUCAUGAGAGUGACGGUGCCUGUACUUCCGAUGAUGGAUCAGUGUCAAGGUGGACACUCAUCAGAGCCGUCGCGGCCCUUCUUUCCGUCCUCGAGCCCUUAUCCAGAUUUGCACACCCGGAGGUGGGCGACGAGGUCGCUGGUCAAUUCGAGCUGCUUUUCACCGAUGCAGCCAGCAGCAUCCGGGAGAGGUAAUGGCACACAGCUCUUGACCUGGAAGCUCUGCCCUUCUGGUGUGAUGGACUGAUGGUGGCCAGCCAAUAUCUUAUGGUGAGAUCUUGAGCAUCAUUUUAACCCGGAAUAUGCGACGAAAGACCGUUCCCUGGGCACCCGCCUGGCGCGAGCUGAUUGAUUGGUUUAGGUUAAAAGUGACUGGAAUUGGGGUGUUAGGCCGUGCAGAGGGGGAGGGGGGGAGGUAUGGGGAUGAGCUUUCCGACGUUGCUGUCACGCCCAUUUCCAUGUCACUUUCAGCUCGUGUAGCGGUAGAGGUAGAGGUAGAGCAGCGGGGCAUAAAUUCCCCCCACUAUUAAUUAUUAGUGUUGCGGUGAGGUCUUCCAAGAAGGGUUCCUGUUUACUUCUUGGAUUGGAUAGAUCUGUGGGAUGGCAUCUCUCCAUUUGUGUGCCGUGCUGCGAUCUUAUCGCGACUUUUUUCUUUUUCGAUUCGACAGGAAAUAUGUGCUGAAAAGGAUUUUCACCGCCUUUUUCAGGCUUGACUUGUCCGAGACCGCCGAAGAGCCUUUGGAGUUUGGAAGAAGCAUGGCCGUGGCUUCGGUCGCUGGCUGGGUUAGUGGCUGUGAUCAUAUGCUGCACUUGCAGAGGAAUCUGGCACUGGAGAGAUGAGAACUUCUUUGAGAAUUGAGAUGGAUGGAUCAAAUCAGUUUGGCCUGUGGUCGUCAGUUUCAGACGACCCGAAGACUGUUUCAGCUCAACUGCAUAAAUUCCGAGAUACAGUACUAUCAAUGGUUUUCGCAGUGACUUUUUUUUGUAUUUCGAAAAUAAAAAUGUAAGUUCUUUCUUUUUCCAAAAUAUAAACGUUUUUUUUCCCUGCACAGGCCGGGGAUUGCUUUUUGUCGCGACGUGAGGCAUGGCAAGGGAGAGGAGGGAUGGGAUGGGAGGCCGCUGGCUGGGAUCGCUCACGUGAUGCGGCUGCGCAACGGCAACGGCCGGUGCCGCCGCGGCGACACGGGAUCACGCGGCAGGGGACGCGCCGCGCGCGUGGUUGGUGUGACGGCGGCGUACGCGCCGUUCGCAUGCCAAGAUCCAUGCGCGUAACCGAACCGGCAUCGGCCGGCGGCGGUCUUCGGCUUCCUGCCUCCGUCCGCCGCCGUGAGUUCGACGCGGCCACUUGCUUCCUGUUACCGGGAGGCUGCACGUGUCGCCUUGCCCGUGGUGCCACGUAGCCCACCUCCACCCUCUGCCGAUCGAAGACUGCGCAAGUCUUUGUUAGUCUCGGUGUCUAAGAGCAUGUUUGGACCGCAGUGAUUUCGCUUGGAUUUUAUCCGAGUCUUCGGCGGAUUUGCGGAAGGUCUCGCUUGUUCCGGUUCCUGAUCGAGGAGGUUACAUGGGAUGGCCAUCAAUGGCGGCUGGAAAUUGCGUCGCCGAUCUCGAGGCAGGCGCUAGGGUUCGUUCGUUCUUCAUGGCUACGCCGUGGCCGUCCACUCGAUGUCAUCGUCGUCCUUAGCCGCCGGCGCUCGAUCCUGAUCGACGCACGCCUCCUCGGCUGGAUGAUUUUUUCCAGAUUCCAAAGCCAUAGCAGGACUCGGUUUAUUUACAUCCAGGUGUGGACAGAACGAAACCCGGUCAUAAUCUGAUCCGCAGCAAGGCUUUAGCACGCACGAGGUAGGUGAAAGCAGAACGGUCUCGCCAGAAACCUGCCUGGAAUUAGCUGACGGCAGCGCCAGCUUGCAAGCUACGUAUUUGUGAAUACGUGGGCAGGAGUUGUUGCAGCGACCAGUAUUGCAAUUUUCUUAGGAUCAAGAAGAUGAAAACACGCUGACUUGAGCUUUUCUUAUUCUUUUUGUUGCGGAGAGAGCAGGUACUGGUCUUCAAUUUGGGGGGGGGGGGGGGGGUACGGUAAAAUAAACAGUUUUUAUUCCCAGUGAUCAGGUUGGAAGGAGUCCUUUUGCGGUUUAUCUUCUUCCCGUUUACGGCAAUCCUCAUUCCUAUAAAAUCCAUUUUUUUAUUUUCUAGGCAGAAUAUUUUAUAAUAUUUUUCAACAUAGUGUAUGUAGGCGCUCUACACGUAACAUGAUAUACUUGAACUUUUCGUUUUCCUUCAGAAGUAUUUAACAUUUGACUUGAAGGAGUAGGGCAGCUACAACUUAGCUGACAAGUGGUGCACUUGCUUGUACAUCCUUGGUGGAUAGCAAUCCAGCCUUUUCAGUUCUAUUCCAAGGAUUGCCUUAAUUUUAUAGAUUCUUUUGCCUCCUUUAAUUUUCUCCCUAAUUUCCUUUUACAUAUAUAUUUUUAAGGGAUUUUUUCUUGGUGCAAUAUGCAUAUAUGGAGAGGUGUGCACAUACUGUAGCAUCUAUUAGUCUCUUGUACUGACCUGGAAAGUGCUGCCCUUAUUUGUGGAAUGAAAAGGAAAAAAAUGGAAAGAGGGGGAAAAGGGAUAGAUGAGAAGCUUGAGGGAGACCCACCACCUAAACCACCUUAUAAACCCCUCUUCUUCUCAACUUGUCACAUGACACAAAGCACAUAUCUCAGUUCUUCUUGGCUACUAGGCUAGUUUCUCUCCCUCCUCCCCUCCGUCUCUCUCUCUCCCUAUUCCUGUUCUCUCUCUCAUCUCACAGCUUGAGAGAGGUAGGAGAGAUAGGGGAGAGAUCAUGUCGAUAAGCUUCUUGAGCAUGGUGGAGGCGGAGCUGCCACCUGGGUUCCGGUUCCACCCAAGGGACGACGAGCUCAUCUGCGACUACCUCGGGCCCAAGCUCGGCGGCAAGGUCGGCUUCUCCGGCCGCCGGCCGCCCAUGGUCGACGUCGAUCUCAACAAGGUUGAGCCAUGGGAUCUCCCUGGUGAGUUCAACUCGAUCAGCCCACCUCUCUCUUUCCCUAAAUCUUAAAGUUUGUUCCGAUCCUUUUGACAUCUCAAUUGCUUAGCCAUGACUUGCACCCAGUUGACGUGGGCAUGGAGAGAGAGAGAGAGAGAUCAUUCCCCCGGAUAAAAAGGAGAUCCUUUAGUUUUGAUUUUCUUCUCAUCGAAUACAUAUGAUCUCCAUCCUAUUUUGUGCUAUCUUUUUUUUAUUUCCUAAAGCUAUUUUGGGAUCCUCGAUUGCUUCUGCGUGAAGAAACGCCACUAGUUGCCAAUGUGCUGUGCAUACACUAAGUUGCACCCUUUCUUUUUUCCUUCCAUUUGCGUCAAGGACAAUUUCGCUCUUAAUACCUAAACAGACCCUUAAAAAUCAUCUAGUAUUUUAUCUUCAGAUUAUCCCUUUCUUUUAUUUCUCCUGUUAGUAUAUGUAUUUUCCAUACUUGAUUUAUUUUUCCUUUUGUGAAGUUGAUGCCUCCUAUAAUUUCUAGUCAUUGAGUUGAAAUAAAGCAAUCAUGUAGUAGUUACUUGCAAUUCAGAUACAUCUCGGUUGAAUUAUUCGAAUUUGUUCUAGCCUUCAGUACUAUUACAUAUAGUUAAUUCAUCGCAUAAAAAAUUCUCAUUUGUUUUGAAACCUCAUGUGGCAGUCUAAUAUCAACGUCACUAUCAGAGUACGUGUACUUGGUAGAAGACUAUAAUAACAAGAAGGUCUUUUUCCAGAAAAGAAAGUACAUGUAGAUCUAGCUAAGGGCACUGCAGUACACAUAAUUCUUAGCAUUUUCAAUCAAACAAGAGGAAAAUCACAGAACAUAUAGAUUAUACCUGCUUUUUCGUGUUAGAUAUGCGCUCAUGUUAUUAUCUAGCUUUAGGCGAAUGUUUCGAAUAACCGAUAUUUGCGCAAUUUGUCAUGAAAAAUGAUAUAGAGAGAGAUCGAAUUGAAGAAUAACCUGACAACCUCACAGAACGGAGUAAAAAUAUUCACCUUUUUUUUUGCCUGGGUUAGAAAUGCUCUCACUUUUUAUACUUUAGCAUUUUCCCUUAUCCGCAAUGGGAAAUAUUCCAUUUGCUACACACUCUAGGGCCAACUUUUAUUAACGUCUGGGAUCAACGAAUCUUCUCUGCAGCCUCUUUCAGUUUGUGUCCAAAAUACUUUCUGAGGUGGAAUAAAAUUGCUGGUUUUAGGGUCUUGCGCUAUAUAUAUAUUCGUUCUAUAUAUUCCCACAAUUUAGGUGCACAACUUUAUAGUAUGUACACUGUAUUCAACUUUUGAAAAAAUAAUGAAGCUUGUAGUCACAUGACAUAUUGCAUAUUUGUUUCUCUAUUUUUCAAAGUGAUCGAUGUUACUAACUUUUCUUAUGUUUAUAAAGACAUGACUCGACUAGUUCUUUUAAUUACGGUAUACAUAUACUAGCAUUCAUAUCACAUUAGCUUAGCAAAGUUAAAAACAUGUGACCUACAGCCAAAAUUUAUCCAAGUUUUGAUCAUACUGGUUACAAAAAAGAUUAUUUCAAUUCAUAUCAUAAUGGUAUAAAAAACAAAGAGUAGGGGGAGCACAUGAACAGAAAUAUGGAUGCAUGGGCAAAGAGAUGGACAAAAAAAAUGGCGUCGCCCGGACUUGAACCGGAGACCUUCAGUGUGUUAGACUGACGUGAUAACCAACUACACCACGACACCACUUGUUUAACUGUAGGUUAAUUAUUAAUCGAGUUUAAUUAACGAUUCAUUUUUGUAACACUUUCAGUACAUCUACAUCGAUAUAUCCUGAGUUCCUGGGCAUUUCAAAUUAGUGGCCAUCAGAGAGCAACAAACUGCAAAUCACAUCUUACGCAUGAGAUCUCAGAUUCCCAGCACACCCUCCGUGUGGGCCGCACACGUGUCCUCUCUUUUGCAUCACCACACCAGGUCCAAGCUAUGGCAAGGCAGUCCCCAUGCUAUUUCUUCUAGUGGCUCCAAACCUCAGCAUCCAGUAGCAAAAACCCCUUUUCCACUCAUAGUGCACAUGACUGCGACCACAAGGUGAUCCAUCAGCAGUUCAACAUGUGCAACUACUGCCCAUGAAUAGCUUUCCCUACCGGCCAAUGCCCAAAAUGACUUUUAUGAAGGAAAAAAGAGAGAGGGAGAGAGAGAGGUGAAAAUGGAGGAGGUUGACCCCCUAAAUUCACGGCAUACCGAAACGUGUCGGUGUCACUGUCGAAAGAUGAGCGCGCGCAAGAAAACAAGAACAUCUCUGUAGCUUUAAGUGUGUGAUCAAUAUUAAUGAUAGCUUUGCGAUCAAUGUUAUUGCUUCUUCUGAUCUCUUGAUACAUGUUGUUGUUUUCUGUUGACCAGCGGCGGCAGCAGUUGGGCCUAGGGAAUGGUACUUCUUCAGCCUCAAGGACCGGAAGUAUGCGACGGGGCAGCGGACAAACCGGGCUACGGUUUCAGGUUACUGGAAGGCUACUGGGAAGGAUCGGGCAGUGGCGCGGCGAGGGGCAUUGGUGGGGAUGAGGAAGACCUUGGUUUUCUACCAAGGGAGGGCCCCUAAGGGGAGGAAGACGGAGUGGGUGAUGCAUGAGUACAGGAUGGAGGGUACACUUGAGCAAUCCUCCAAGGUAACGUGUGUACAAUGCUACUGGUAAUACUAGAUUGCUAUGAAUCGAAUGAAUUAUCAAAAUAUGCUUCAUCUUACUUUAAAAUGUGUUGUUUAAGGCGUUCUGGAACCCAAUUAUCUUUAGAUAGUUUCCAAAUAAAAAAUUAAUUGCAUAGCGUAGGUACAAACUGUGAGCUAGGCACAUCUAUUCUAUAAGAGAAUGACUUGUAGUGGGCAUAUUUCCUACUGAAAAGUCGUUGUCAAGACUUGUCACACUGUUCGUAUGAGAUGAACAUCUCUACUUGUCUCUUUCCUUCGUUUAUUUAUUGUAGGAAGUUCUUCGUUUAUUUUUGAUUGAUAUUUGGCCAAUAUAUUUUAUUUUUGAUAUUAUACUUCUUGAACACAGAAGGCCUUUUGCACCGCUUCACAGAACAUCCUGAAUUAACAGGUGCAGACAUUAAUAUUAUAAGAACCAAUUCUAGUUUUGAAAAACUAAAAGAAGAACAUUCUGAAGUAACAGAAAGAUAGGUAUCUUAAUUCUUAAACGAUGCAUGAUUUUACAUGAAGGCUUGGAUCAGGUCCGUAGAACUAGAAAAGUAUAUUCACCAGAUCAGUGAUGCAAUUAGUGUUAGUACAGUCCAAGUGAUUAACGAGACUGCAUUCAAUGAACUAACCGAGAUGUUUUCACUGAUCUUCCAUGCGUCACCAACAGGAUGAAGAUUGGGUCCUGUGCAGAGUCAUCUGCAAGAAGAAAUUACCAGGAGGCGCCAGCUCCAAGGCGUCAAGAAGCCUCGCCACCAAUGGCGGCCAUGACACCGCACCAACCAGCUCGCCGCCGCUGCCACCCCUCAUGGACACCACCCUAGCACAGCUCCAGGCCGCCAUGAACACCACCGCCGGCGCAAUCGAGCAGGUGCCCUGCUUCUCCAGCUUCAACAACAUUGCCAGCAACAGCAACAGUGCUGCAGCAGCUCAGCCAUGCUACCUGCCCAUGGUCACUGGCAGCCAUGGCAUGAGCUUUCUGGACCAUGGCCUGCCUGAGCUUGGCGGCUGCUUUGAUCCUCUGAACUGCGACAAGAAGUUGCUCAAGGCAGUGCUGAGCCAGUUUGGAGGUGAGGUGGUGCCAAGCCUGCCGCAUGAGAUGGCUGCUGGUACUGCUGCAACCUCCACUUGGAUGAAUCACUUCUAGGGAAAUUGAUUCAGCAAGCACAAGCGAUUGAUGAUUCCAUAUGAACUAUAUUUACUUAUUGUGUGGUACAAGUACAAUAUUUAUGUGUGAGUAGUAGAACAUGCAACAUUUUUUUUCUGUCGAUUUCGAUAAGGCAGGCAAAAAUUAGGAGUGAUACUCUGUAAUGGCUGUUGAAGUGUGUAUAUUCAGAUGUAGAGGACCAGAGGAUUGAGUGAUCAAGAGAAUUUCAGAUUUAUUGUUUUGCUGUGCCUGAAUCCUAAUAAUAGCGCAGUAACAGCAACAGAGCAUGUACAAUAAUUCAGAACGCACAAGCUGCCAUCCAGAUACAGUACUGGUCCAAAUUCAAUCAUGAUAUUUAUUCAGGAAAGUAGGCAUGACAGUCACAUCCAGGCAUCUCCUUGUGCAUAACAUCUUUCUUUUCUGCUGUAUUAUUGCAAUGACAAGCAUGGUAAUCAAGCAGUAAGUUGAGAGUUCCUGGCUUUCCAUUGCACUGUUCCUGAUAUGCUGCUGGCCAACUGCAUGAGUGAGUGACCACUGAUGACCUGUGUGCUUCAUUGCACCUUUCAGAAAGAGGCCUUGAUCGAUCCUUAUUGCUUUUGCUGUACUUUGUUCUAUAAGUACUAGUACUCGUACGCUUAUAAAUACAACGUCCUGUACACCUCUUUGGCUCAUCUUGUAGGAGUACAAUUUGGAAGGUUACAUGACAGAAAAGAAAGAGCAAGAUGUGCUGGCAUCAAGGUGAUGGUUGCUAGGUACUGAAACAUCAAAGUCUUCUCUGUUCUUUUGCAACAAUUUGUUAUUUUUUUUAGGCUACCUGCAAUAUUAUGCAAAUGUAAGAUUGCACUCUAGAUUCGCUUAGAUACAUGGUACCAUUUCACAGUUUCUUCUCCAUGUCAGUCCAAUACAUGAACAUAUAUCUAGACUGUGAUUUCAGAGUGUUAGGUCGAUGCGUUGAGCCAGAUAUUAAUUAAAUUCUUAAUUUGUAGAGAUUGCUGAAAGGAACACUUGGACAACCUCCUACAUUUAUGAAAAUAAAUUCGAUUAUUGUGCAUAAAUAAGACCCUGUUUGGAUGGAUCAACAUCCCAUGCUACUCCAAACAACUUCUCAUUCAGAUGUCUCCUUCUGAACUUCAGGCACAGCUUCAAUAUUCAGAUUUAUGUAAGAACUGUCUGCAAAGUAGCACCCUGAAGAAAAUAAAGUAGCAUCUGUACAGCAUUGCCUGUUACAACUUACAACCACAAAGGAUUAGAAACAUUCAAUAGAGUAAUUACACAAACUUUUGUAAGAACUGGUCUAACCAAAGAUCAAUAUAAUAACCAACUGCAGCUAUGUGCUUUUGUACUCUUGGCAUACCCAUUUCAGGCCAAGCAACAUGGAACAGUUUGACACCAAAUUUGGCAGCACUCAAUGCUGUGAUCCAGCUCCCCCACAUGUGUAUCAGAGCAGCUCACAGUUGUGUUGCCUUGACCCCCAGAGUGAGAUCCAAAUGCUGAAACAGUGCACUGUUGUGGAUGAGCUGUCUGAGAUAUGGACUACUCAUUGGCCUGCCACAUUGGGCCGGUGAGCGUUGGAUGCAGCUGAUAGUAGGUUCAGUGCCAGCAUGAGGACGACACCGAUGAACGAUGAAACGAUCGCAAUGCCUCCACGGCUGCAGAAGGAACCAAACUUGUCGCACAUCGGGUUCCACCGUGCGUGCAAGUUACCGUUCUUGCCUAGCUCCGCCAUCGAGGCCGCUGUGGCGGCACCGGUAGCCAACAGAGCCAUGAUCACCUGGACCAAUGACAACAGAGGGAAAAUAAUGAUGUGUAUCCAUAUAAACUGGCAUUGGUUUGACAUUUGUCAGAUAAGCUACAGUACAUCCCUAUGCAAGUACAGCAACAGAAGUUUCAGUCAGGCAACUGGUUUUGGACAGUUGCAAUAGAUUCUUGAUUACGCUGAAAUUUAUACUUCUAUAAUAGCACACUAGCAUCAUUAUUAUAAGGCUCCAAAUUCUGUUCUGCGUUCUCUGACCAGGUUUGGCUGCGUUAUGUAGUGUGACGGCUCACAUUUUCCGCGAGCAAUCAUCUCAGAGUGAUUGCAAAUGCACAGUUUGUCUCAUUCCCUCUUACAUUCAAUUGAUCGUUGAUGUGGUAGUCUUGUUCAGACUUCAGAGAACUAUUUCAGAGUUGAUUUAUGGUGAUACUACUAUUGAAUUAAGUUGUCUUCAAGCGAACUAGUGCUACUAUCAAUUGAAUCAAUGGUAUUCAGUUAGCUAACUGAACACAGAAGACCAGAAAGAAUCACCAUGUCGAGCAUCUGCACGACCAAACUCGAUGUCCUCCGCCGCAGAAUUAGGCGCCUGAUGAUCAGCACCAGCAGGUUAUACACACCGGCAAUGGCAUUGGCUAUGACGAAGUACCUGCUCAAACAAAUCCAUCACCUUCCACAGUUACUGCUACACGCGCUGAAACACCGACGAUUCAUCAGAAAAAAAAAGAAAAGAAAAACUGUUUUGGCAAUGAAGCAGAGGCCUUUCAGGCUUACACAAAUGCAGGCGUGUCUCUGAACUUCGCGGUGAAGGUCUGCGUGAGCGGCCGGGUGCCGACGAUGGCGACCACCGCGGUGUAGGACUGGGUGUUGAGCGCCAUGACCGCCGCCGCCACCGCCGUGGCCAGGGCCGCGGCGGCGCGCAGCACGGCCGGCUGCACGGCGGCGAGCCUGUCCCUGAGGAGCUUGUUGCAGGUCGUCGGCGUCGCAGCCGCCGCCGGUGCAGCAGAGGGCUUCCUGCUGCUGCCAUGCUCGAGGUCCAUGGAGCGAUCAGUGCUCGUGAAUUGCACGUGAGCAUUCAGUUGCACGAAUGGAAUCGAUGCGUUUGUGCCGAGAUUAUAUGGUGGCUGUCAGUUCAUGUCAGAAAAAAAGAUGAUGCGUGUUGUUGGGUAAUCGCCGGUCGGUUUCUGCAAGUUUGGGUUACUUGUGCUGCCGAUUCUUCAUUGAAGAAGUUUUGGUCUUGGCUUGCCUUUCUCUGUUCCGAAUUGUAUGUCCAGCUGAUUAGUCAAAGAAGAGGUAGUGCUUUGGAUAAAAGUUAGAACCUGUGGUCUGCAUGAGCAGGGAAAUGAGUGUCUGAGAAGAAAUGUACAUGUUGUUUUCUUCUUUUUUUUUCAGGUUUACACAAAAGGUUGGUUUGGCAGAGAAGGGUGAAGGAGUGCGAGAGAAGGAAUGUUGAGGAAAGAGAAAAUUUGGCGCGCCACUGGAAAGGAAAACGGGCAUUGAGUUCAUCGGUAGAUGCAGCUACCGUGGAAAGACGUGUUUGAAGAGUUAUAUGUGUGUUCAUAGACGUUUUUGGUGUUAGGCCAAAGGGGUGGUGGCGCAGUAUGCUAGCGCGUAGGUCUCAUAGCUAUUGCGAGUGAUCCUAAGGUCGAGAUUUCGAGACUCUCUCACCCUAAUUUUAUUAUCGUUUUAUAUGGUUUUAAAAUGUGACGAUUUGCAGCGAGACUGUUUUUUCUAGUAUACUCGGAAUCUCUCUCACCCCAAUUUUUUCGUUUUACGGUUUUUAAAUGUGACGAUUUGCAUCGAGACUGGUUUUUCUAGUUGUACCAAGUCUUUUUUUAAAAAAAAAUCUUAUUUGACACUAGAAGAUGACUAAAUUCUUUUAAUUUUCAUCCUGACACUGACACUGAGUUCUAUCUUUUAUUCCUUAUUCGAUAUUUUCAUCACUUUUGUCACACAAGUCGAACAAAACAACCAUUAAAUCACCUCCAAAAUUCAUGAACUUUUUUUGAUAAUAGAACAAAUGAAGAUGAGUCCAUUUUGCUUAAACACGUACAUGUCCUUUGCUAUUUUCAAAUUAAAAUUCACCGAAUCUGACUACUUUUGAAGCAUGAGAUGUGGUCACUUAUAAAAUUAUUUUCUAUCAUAAUUACAUGAAGAAUUACAAGGUUGUUUUAAAUUUUCCCAAAUUUACGGUUCUUCAUAAUUCUCUAUGUAAGUUUUGCUAGGAAAUAAAUUAAUGAGUUACAACAUCUUAUGUGAGAAUAUUAGUUAUUUUCUUAUAAUUUUUAAAAGUGUUUUGGUGCCAUGAAAAUUCAGAGAAGUUAUAAAGGUAGCAUAAGUAGGUGAAUUUUAAUUUUAAAACCGUAAAGGUAUACGUGUCCUUUUAAUAAAUAUGGGUUCAUAUUCAUUUGUUGUAUCACUACAAAAAGUUUCAUGAUCUUUGGAGGUGAUUUGUAGAUCGUUUUACCUGACUUAACUAACACAAGUGACGGAAAUGUCAAAUAAGGAAUGAAAGUUAACUAACACAAGUAACGGAAAUGUCAAAUGUUAAAUAAGGAAGGAAAGUUAGAAGUUGGUAUCAUAUUAGAAAGGAAAAACUUAAAACUUUUCAGGGUCAUGAAAGAAAUUAACUCAACUUCCAGUGUCAAAUAAGGAAUUUCCUCUUCUUCUUUUUUUACUGGAAUGCCAUUCUUCUUUUUUUUACUGGAAUGCCAGGACUUUUAUAACUCAAGACAACAGGUUCGUUCAUUUGUACAAGCCUGUAGCAUUUUUUAAGAUAGUCUUUACACAUCUACAGUUACUAUCCCUUUAAUUCGUACCAGCAGCACGAAAAUAAACAAUUUUACAUAGGAGAUUAAUAUAGGUGCUUCAAAGAACCAGACCUGAAUAAUGCAUUUCUGUCUCUGCAUUCAGUCCAAAACUCCGAAAGGGAAGCGAUUAGCAUUUACCAGAUUGAUUCUCACCAACAUCCAGAUUGAUUAAAACACUGUAUUUCAAGAGCCAUUUGUGAUGUUUGUUUUGUCGUCAUUAUUCACUGAGAAGGCUGCAAGCACCCACGGGAUAGGAGUUUGAUCACACAGUGAGGUCUAACAGAGCCCAUAUUACAUACAAAAGAAUCAAGGGUAACAAGCUACAGUUUCUGAGUAUCCACACCCGCACUUCGUUUUCGCUCGUUCUGGCAUGAUCAAAGGGGC